GACAUCUGGACACGUGUGUUUUGUUUUGUCAUGUCUCCUCCCUGUUCUGUCAUUGGCUGGGAUUUCACGUGGGUCUGUAUUGCUUUCAGCUGCUAGCAGUUUAGACGCUGAUCAUGUCCGCAUAUAUACCGCGCGCCUCCCAGCACACAACGCGGAAGAUUAAUACCAUAGAGUUAGAUUAGUUCGUAUCGUAGUCAUAGUCACGGUCCAUGUUUAGAGUUAGUUCAGUUCGUAUCGUAGUCAUAGUCACUGUCCCUGUCCAUGUUUAGAGUUAGUUCGCGCUGGAUUAUCCGCUUCCAGUCCCUCGUCAUAGUUCGUUUCUUGUUUUGUUUAUCGACCCUGUUUUCCGUGACCACGACCUAGAUUCCUGCCUUGCCCCUUGACGUCGCUCCGCUUUCAUGCUCCGCCGAGGACUUCGCUCAGCCUGCCUGCCCGGCUGUGGAUGUCGCUCAGCCUCCUUGUUCAGCCGAGGACGUCGCUCCGCUUUCAUGCUCCGCUGAGGACUUCGCUCAGUCUGCCAGCCCUGCUAUGAACGUCGCUUCGCUUCCCUGCGCCGCCAAGAACACCGUGCAGUUUCCUGGCUCUGCUUGGGACAUUCAGCCCAGGGGGCCAAUUAAAUGGGAUGACUCAUGGCACUCCGGGAGGAGUGCCUUUGGGGGGGUUCUGUCAUGAUUCCCCCUUGAAGCAGCGUGCUCUAAGCGCGAAUGCGCAAGCACCUGUUUUUCCGUUGUUGACCGUAAUUACAUCUGGACACGUGUUUUGUUUGUUUCCGUCAUGUCUCCUCCCUGUUCUGUCAUUGGCUGGGAUUUCACGUGGGUCUGUAUUGCUCUCAGCUGCUAGCAGUUUAGACGCUGAUCAUGUCCGCAUACCACGCGCCUCCCGGCACACAAGGCCGAAGACUAAUGCCAUAUAGUUAGAUUAGUUCGUAUCGUAGUCAUAGUCACGGUCCAUGUUUAGAGUUAGUUCGCGCUGGAUUAUCCGCUUCCAGUCUCUCGUCAUAGUUCGUUUCUUGUUUUGUUUAUCGACCCUGUUUUCCGUGACCACGACCUAGAUUCCUGCCUUGCCCCAUGCAUGCCUGUUUGCCAAUCGCCUGACCUCUUGCAUGUUUAUGGAUUACGUUUUGGAUUUGUCUGCCUGUCUCUCUUUCAAAUAAACAACUGUUCAUCCUG
This is a long non-coding RNA of Ictalurus furcatus (blue catfish), 1169 nucleotides long. RefSeq lists it as uncharacterized. The record is from RefSeq and is a predicted model, not a curated record. The transcript is spliced from 2 exons. Lineage: Eukaryota; Metazoa; Chordata; Actinopteri; Siluriformes; Ictaluridae.